This 256-nucleotide ribosomal RNA is filed under the name uncultured bacterium. RNAcentral's name for it is "partial 16S ribosomal RNA". It matches the Rfam family "Bacterial small subunit ribosomal RNA", at positions 524 to 776 of the family's 1533-position model. The record is from RNAcentral.
UACGGGGGGGUGCGAGCGUUGUCCGGAAUCACUGGGCGUAAAGGGCGCGUAGGUGGUCUGAUAAGGGUGUGGUGAAAGCCCGGGGCUCAACCCCGGGUCGGCCGUGCCGACUGUUGGACUAGAGUGCUGUAGGGGCAGGCGGAAUUCCGGGUGUAGCGGUGGAAUGCGUAGAGAGUCCGGAGGAAGACCGGUGGCGAAGGCGGGUCUCUGGGGCCGAUACUGACGCUGAGGAGCGAAAGCGUGGGGAGCGAACAGG